Molecule: long non-coding RNA, 226 nt
Filed under: Olea europaea (common olive)
Lineage: Eukaryota; Viridiplantae; Streptophyta; Magnoliopsida; Lamiales; Oleaceae
Description: long non-coding RNA (OEUR_LNC009738)
Source: RNAcentral
ACCAUAGGUAGAGAAGAGGUAUGGGCAACAGGCCACAUGUUUGUGCACACUAUGCGCAACAAGACCUGACGAUCAGUAGGCAAUGACCCCGUGGCCAUCGCCGUAGGCCCACCGAUAGACGGGGUGUUCAAAAGCGUAGACCGAACAAGAGCAUCGGUCGGAAUAGAAGCAGGUAAAAUAUAGGGGUACGUCGGAUGGGUAAUCUGAGGUAUACUUAAGGCAUGAG